This 220-nucleotide ribosomal RNA is filed under the name uncultured Glomeromycotina. RNAcentral describes it as "partial large subunit ribosomal RNA". The record is from RNAcentral. Lineage: Eukaryota; Fungi; Glomeromycota.
CAGUCAUGCUAGUGGGGGAAUCUACUUGAUGAUGUGUGAGUUCUCUCGCAUACUUUCCGGUGUACUUCCUUACUUGGCAGGUUAGCAUCAAUUUCGAUUAUCAUAAAAAAUUUGAAGGAAUGUGACUUUCCUUUGGGAAAGUGUCAUAGACCUCGAUCUAUGUGGUGACCGGGAUUGAGAUUUGCAGCGGAUAUCCUAGUGGCUUGUCACCUGGCUUCUG